RNAcentral lists this ribosomal RNA (253 nucleotides) under uncultured bacterium. Its description in RNAcentral is "partial 16S ribosomal RNA". It matches the Rfam family "Bacterial small subunit ribosomal RNA", at positions 524 to 776 of the family's 1533-position model. The record is from RNAcentral.
UACGAGGGGGGCGAGCGUUGUUCGGAAUUAUUGGGCGUAAAGGGUGCGUAGGCGGUUUGGUAAGUCUUAUGUGAAAUCUACAGGCUCAACUUGUAGUCUGCAUGAGAAACUGCCGGGCUUGAGUAUGGGAGAGGUGAGUGGAAUUCCUGGUGUAACGGUGAAAUGCGUAGAUAUCAGGAGGAACACCUGUGGCGAAAGCGGCUCACUGGACCAUAACUGACGCUGAUGCACGAAAGCUAGGGGAGCAAACAGG